Molecule: long non-coding RNA, 4355 nt
Filed under: Callithrix jacchus (white-tufted-ear marmoset)
Lineage: Eukaryota; Metazoa; Chordata; Mammalia; Primates; Cebidae
Description: lncRNA (ENSCJAG00000073668.1)
Source: RNAcentral
AUGUCGAUUUGCAGGUUUACCAACAGGGAGGUUAAUAAUCAGGAUCUGUAUUAUACAAACAACCAUGUGAACUUAAAAGCAGAUAUUUUUCUCAGAGUCUUCAAAUACCAGUCCAGCCAAGCUGACAUCUUGAUUUUAACCUGCUUUAGUUCUUUCUCCCCAUUGUCAAAGUGCUUCUUGGCUGCCUGUGGGGUUGGCAUGAAAAGGAUUGAGCGUCAGAGUGGAUGUCUCUUUGCCCACUUUUUGGGUUGUGGUCUAGAAGCAUAUUGUGAUUUCUACAAGACACACGUUCCCAUUUGGAGCUUUAACAAAUUCAACCGUUUCAUGUUCUGUAGAGAAGUACUGAGCAGCUUAAAGCAUUUGAAUGGGAGGAGGAGAAGAAACUACAGCUACUUCGGAGAAUGACGGUAAACACCUAGUCCACUCUGUAUACACUAGAGGUAGGAGAGGUGGUUCAUACAACUCCACGUGUGCUCAAAGUUUUCCCCUGGCCUUCUUGGUUAGUUCUGUGUUGUCUAAUAUUUCAGGAAAAAAUAAUGUAACAGAGUUCUCAAUCUCAAACUAAACCCUGAGCUUUAUUUUUUUUUGAAACACUGAAGCAAAGAACCUGGAAAAGCCAUUAUUUAGAAGUUGCAAGCUGUUGUUUUGACUCCCUAGAAGUUGUUUCAUUUCUCAGGGCCAGCUGUCCUCUUACAGAGGGAGAGCCACCAGAAUGGGAUCUUUAGUAAUACAAAUCAGAACAAGCAUUAAUUCAGUAUUCUUCAUAAUAAUAAAAUUCACUGCCCACUUGAGUGCACAGGGUUUAUUAUGAAAUGGUAACACCCUUAGCCUUGUGGAUGAGGGACCCCAGAUCUGAGCCCUGUGAUUUAAGGGUCCAGAAUUCUAGCUCUGCUCUGGCUAUACCUCUUCUCAUGGGGCAAUGAAUCUGUAGGCCACAUUAGAGCACAUUCUCCUUCCUCCUUCAAGACUAAGCUCCAGGCAGGCAGAUUCAAUAGGUGCACUGCCAAGGGUCCCUGUUACUGUUAGGGGCCAUAAAAACAUUCAAGUUUCUUUUAAAAUGAGAAGGAAAGAAUGAACUUUUAAGUUGAAAACAUAUCUGACAUCAUAUCAAUAUAUUCAUUCCUAUACCAACACAGUUGUAAGAUGUAACUUGUGAUAUAGUUUAUGGAAAAGGAGGGCCACAAAUACAAAGGCACCUAGAGUUCAUUAAAGACAUAAAGUGGUUCUUUCUCUAGCCAGCCAGAACCCUAGACUUUUAUGUCCAAGAGGUCCAAGCCUACUUCCAGGGCCUACGAGGGUCUCUUCCCCAGGUGUCUUCUUUGAAGAGCAGACAGCACACUGGUAUGAGCACCCCGAAGCACACCAGUGACUACGGCUGAUCUUGUAUAGUCUGUGUCUGAAGUGUGGGUGUAUGGCCUAGCGUGUUCCUGUGUCUAUGUGUGAGGCAUCUUGUAAUAGGAGAUGGCGUUAGGGGCAGUAUGAAAGGGAGCGGAGACAGGGGCUGGGGCUAGUUCUCUUCACAAGAUUGUGUUCUGGUGCAGAGUGUGUAGACAGCAUCAUUUGAGCAAGCUGUAUGAGAAAAGACAUCGCAAAUGCUUUGAAUCUGGGAAGCGUCACUGAUCCUUCACUGUUAUUAAGAAGAUAACAUUGUACACUAAGCCCGUCAAAGAGAUGCAAGUUAAGUGCAGGCUAAUAACAAUUUUCUGUAAAUAACUUAAUGGUGAAUUUUAUCUAUCAGCUGCUGUUAAUUUUCUGGUAGAGAAGAAACUGUCUUUAGAAAAAUAUCUCAAAAAGCCACUGAAGUAGAAAGUUUCAGCAUGCUGAAGAUGGAACGUGGAAAGGUGGAAAGUUCUGGGCCCUUAGUGACAUCACUGAGUUGCUGGACCUGGAACCACUGUGUGUCAUAGUAUUAGAUAAAUAUUCCCACUAAAAAUCUCCUUACUAUCUCAGAGAUUUUUAGUGGGAAUAUUUAUUUCUGGCCUCGAGUAAGACCUUGCAGGAUUAGCAGUUUCAUCUGUGUGUUUAUUUUCUUUGUUGUCUGCUCCACCCUACUUGAUUGUGAUCGCCAUGACAUCAAUGACUAUGCACGUUUUGUUCACCCAGGAAUAUCCAGUGCCUACCACGCAGAGCGUGGUGCGUGUGCAUGCCCACUUGGCAUCUGGUGUAGCAAAGAGUGAAAGAAGGAAUAAAUGCCUUCUCCCAUGAUGAGGGGACAUGGAUCCAGACAAGCUGGACAUCUCCCCAGGCCCAGCACUCUGCUUUAUAAGUUCUUCCAGUACAGCAUCACAUGCCGUUACAACAGAGUGAAAUCUCCCAAGAACACAGCUGAUUGUUUCAUGCUUGCAAAAAGGGCUGACUAAUCUUUCCUUCUCCUGUAAGGCAAGCCAGCACUCUUCCAGUCUUCCUUUAGGUGGCGCCUCUUCUUGUCAGUCAACACAUGGAUCCAUUAUAGAAACAUCUGAGCUAGUCAAGUUAAUCCUUAACUAAACUGGAGUAGUGCUGAUCAUUCGGCCUUAAGAAUUGAAAAAUCACAGCAUUGCUGAAAGAGAAGGCUUUCUUUUUUCAGGUAGAGAGGCGUAAGUCUUAGGCCAGGAAGCUUCAGUAAGAAGACAAUAAUUUCACAGAAAUGCAUUAGCUUGGGGAGUCCAACUGCUGUUCUUGCAUGUGAGAAAUUCAGAGGAGAGCUCUUUGCUUCCUUGCUCAUUUCAAUGUUAGGAGUCAGGCCUUGCCCCCGAGUGCUCAGCUUGAUACUUACUCACUAAGCCUUGAAUUAAUCCAGUGAAGCUCUAGGCCUUUUAUGGGAUUCACAGGAAUAAAUAGCAUUUAAAUGUAUGUUCUCAAAGGUCAAGUCUUUGACCCAAAUCUGAAGAUUGAGAGAAUUGUUCACUCUAAUAAUUCUGCUAGAUCCCCAGCUUCACACAAACCAUUUAUUUCAGACUAAACCUUUAACAAUCUUUUCUUACCUGUAGUUUUGUUGUCAUUUAGAAAACACAGAAAUACUCGAUUUUAAUUGGAACUAAGUGACAAAAAUAAGCCACUUCAUGCGUUUUCUGGAUAAUGGUAAAAUGUAAGGGAAAAAGCCACCUCUUGUUCCAAGUGGUAUUUUACAGUGAUUUUUUUUCCUUUUGACUGCAUCGUAGAAUUCUACUGGAGGCAUUUCUGGGCAACUUUUUCUUGUUAACGAAUCAUCCCCUUUGAGAAUCAACAGGUAAUUUCAGGAACCCAGGUGUAAGUGAUUUAAAGUGGACUUUGUGGGUGGAACCAAUGUUUACCCAGUGCAUUCAUUCGACAAACAUUUGAUGAGCACCAAAUUAGAGUUCAGCUACAGAUAACAAACACCAGUUGAACUAAUUUCAUCAGAAAGCUACUUGAUAGGAGUAAUUAGGUGCUUACAAAAUAGAAGGGCUGGAAGCCCAGGCUCUAGGCUGACGCCCAUGUAGCUAGACCCCGGAAACGGAGACUCCAGCUGCUGCAGAACAGCCAAAGGUGUUCAUGACUGUGCUUGUUGGUCAGCAGGCGCGUGGCCCUGCCUCGUGAUACUGUGUUUUUCAGUUCUCGCGUGGGUGAGUCUAUUUGGAGAAGUUGGUUCAAGAUGCAGCUUGACUCUCAGGGAGUCUCUGUAACAACGCUUAAUGUUGUUAGCUUUCUGGCCUCCAGCAUACAGUGUGGUUUUCUGGAAGAAAGAUUUAAUGUAGUUAAGGAUGCCAACGUGUAAUAUCUGAUGUCCAUUUCUGCCCUGCUUGGGAUACAAAAUAAAAAAGUCAGUUUCUGUCCUUGAGAAGUGUGCAGUUUAGUGAGAAGACAGACUCUUGAACAAAGAAGUAUACUUCACUAUUGCCAGCCCAGGAUUCGAGACAGGUAUUAAGAGGAACCGUGGUGAGUGAUAUUUUGCAUCUGGUGUAGGACAGUUCUCCAGAUGGCUGUGGACCAACCCAGUUCUCCCCCUUUCUCACUGUAGUUCUUAAGAAUAACUAGAAUGUGCUGGGAAUGCAACAUCCUGAGAUAAGGCCUAGGCUCUGUUCCAGUCCCCUCUAGAAACAGGAUGUCCUUCAACACAUUAAUCCAGCAGGUCAUGUUAUCCCUGGAGUAGAAAACCCAGAGAGGGUUGCUUUCCAGGGUCCUUCGUCUGUGGUGCAAGUGAGGCACGCACAGACGAGACUCCACCUGCCCUGGGCAGCUUUCCUGAGCAUGGGAAACCUCUGACCAUGAAUCCUAGGUGUCUACUGUUCCUUGCCGCCCCUUCACGGAACCCGUUGUAUGUACGAGUGUUCUCUCUUACUGGAGCAAGUAGUGAAAGUUCAGCCCAAGAUUCAGUGGGCUGAAGUGGCCAGUGCGCAGUGAACCUGCUCACUGGG